GACGAACGCUGGCGGCGUGCUUAACACAUGCAAGUCGAACGGAAAGGCCCUGCUUUUGUGGGGUGCUCGAGUGGCGAACGGGUGAGUAACACGUGAGUAACCUGCCCUUGACUUUGGGAUAACUUCAGGAAACUGGGGCUAAUCCCGGAUAGGAGCUCCUGCUGCAUGGUGGGGGUUGGAAAGUUUCGGCGGUUGGGGAUGGACGCGCGGCUUAUCAGCUUGUUGGUGGGGUAGUGGCUUACCAAGGCUUUGACGGGUAGCCGGCCUGAGAGGGUGACCGGCCACAUUGGGACUAAGGUACGGCCCAGACGCCUACGGGAGGCAGCAGUGGGGAAUAUUGCACAAUGGGCGGAAGCCUGAUGCAGCAGCGCCGCGUGCGGGAUGACGGCCUUCGGGUUGUAAACCGCCUUCGCCUGUGACGAAGCGUGAGUGACGGUAAUGGGUAAAGAAGCACCGGCUAACUACGUG
Molecule: ribosomal RNA, 468 nt
Filed under: uncultured bacterium
Lineage: Bacteria
Description: partial 16S ribosomal RNA
Rfam family: Bacterial small subunit ribosomal RNA
Source: RNAcentral